UGGUGGAUCCUCCUCAAGCUUCUACUCACA
RNAcentral lists this non-coding RNA (30 nucleotides) under Rattus norvegicus (Norway rat). The record is from RNAcentral. Lineage: Eukaryota; Metazoa; Chordata; Mammalia; Rodentia; Muridae.